This is a long non-coding RNA of Hirundo rustica (Barn swallow), 1293 nucleotides long. RefSeq lists it as uncharacterized. Lineage: Eukaryota; Metazoa; Chordata; Aves; Passeriformes; Hirundinidae. The record is from RefSeq and is a predicted model, not a curated record. The transcript has 3 exons.
UAUUCCUGCAAUAUUGGCAAGAGCCAAGGUGGACGUGGGAGCCUCUGGUGGGGUGCAGAGCCCACAGGCCAUGUCCAGGCUCAGCUCCAGCACCACACAGCCCACAAGUGCUGCUUCCAUGUCUGGAAGGUUCCAUGUGAUCCAGGUGUUCCUCAGGAGAGCUGUAUUGAGGCCCAUUUGUGGUGAAAGGCAGCAGUGCUUUCUCCAAGACUCGGAGGACAAUCAGAAGAGAAGGCGUUGACCAAAACCAGGCUCAUCCAGGCACCGUGGGCAUCUCCCACAGCACCAUUCAGGAUCUGAGCAAGCUGAUGGAAACCAAUUCUGUAUCUUUAAGGCAAGAUGAAAAGAUUUUAGAAUUCCCCUGACUAGUGAGAACAGAGAAUUGAUACAGCUCUACAGCAGCCAAAUGCCAGCACAUCUCUGCAUCUCAACGUCACCAUUAGUCUCAGCUAAGAGAUGGAUGGGAGAGAUUUCCUCUUUGUGUAUCAUUUGCUUAAUCAAUCUGAAAUACAACCCUGCAGUCUGAAAACAGGUCUCAAACAGCGACAGUUAAGCAGCUGUGCAAUUUGUCUGUUGCCCCAAGAACAGACUAUUUAGAUAAGGUUUGGCUGAGCCAAAAAGAAGGCUGGGAAAAGGUUCAGCAGCUCUAACAGGAGAGGGAAAAUGGCACUGUCUUGGGCUGUUAGCAUCACGGCAAGCCCUGCUCUGUUCAGGCACAGCUUCUCACCAGCCCAAGUCCAUGUUCAGUUAAUAAAUGAAAACAUCCUGUGCCUCCCCAGUUUGGCAAAGGUAGGAUUUGGGGUGAAGGAGAGAUCUCCUUUGCUUACCCUGCAUGUUUUGCCAGUAUCCCCCAACUCCCUGAAAUGUCAAGAGAAAGAUCAACAGAGUGAAAUGUAAUCUCAAAGAGAAACACGAUAUUUUUUUUUUAACGUCCUCACAGCAGCAAUCAUAAUAAAAAUACAAACCUGAGGUUUGUAAAAACGCAGCAAUAAAACCACAGACAUCUUUACAACUCCCAGAUACCCAGUGCUCCCCGGCAGCGAGCGCAAAAACCCUCCCAGACACAAGGAGCAAAACUCUAACUGGGGACCGGGCCUAAUUGUUUUACAGCCUGCAAAAAAAUAAAAAGUAAAAAAAUAAUAAAAAAAAGCCACACAUGACACCAAUUCGCAGGUCAUUACCAGCCACCAUCAGGGAAGAUAAAAUAAACUCCCUUCGUUUUCCCUCGCCUAGAGACCACGGAGCAGCUGAGUUGUGGGGAGGUGGAAUGCUGUGCUUACAGGCAGUACGUGG